GGAUGCGAUCAUACCAGCACUAAAGCACCGGAUCCCAUCAAAACUCCGAAGUUAAGCGUGCUUGGGCGAGAGUAGUACUAGGAUGGGUGACCUCCUGAGAAGUCCUCGUGUUGCAUUCC
This 119-nucleotide ribosomal RNA is filed under the name Triticum aestivum (bread wheat). RNAcentral also lists the same sequence under 1 other name. Lineage: Eukaryota; Viridiplantae; Streptophyta; Magnoliopsida; Poales; Poaceae. The record is from RNAcentral.